AUGGACCCGCCGCCCCCUCCUCCGCCGCAGCCGGCGCACGGGGGCUACGCCGCGCGCUUCUCCCCCGCCGGCCUCAUCCACGCGCCCCUCUCCGCGCUGCUCGAGUAUUCCUCGGGCGUCCUGCGGGCCCAGGCCGGCGGCGGUGGGCCCCAGCGCGGGGAGCCCGCCGCGGGGGCCGACGGGGAGGUGUCGAUUCGGAUCGCCGGGCCCGACGACGCGCCUGGCGCCGGCGCGGGGGACGCGGGAGGGCAGCAGCCCGCGGACGAGGAGGCCCCGGCGGCGCGGGGGGACGAGGCCGGCGCGGGCGGGGGGAGCGGGAGGGGGGACUCGCCGUACCAGGGCUACGACGUGCAGCGCCUGGCCAGGUGGGUGGAGCACGCGCUACCCUUCUCCCUGCUCCUGCUCGGCGUCUUCAUCCGCCAGCACCUGCAAGGUUUCUUCGUGAUGAUCUGGAUUGCCGCAGUCAUGUUCAAGUCCAAUGAUAUCUUGCGCAAGCAGACCGCUCUCAAGGGGGAGAGGAAAAUGCCAAUGCUUAUUGGGAUUAUAAUAGUAUUCACCAUUCACGUGUUUGGAGUCUACUGGUGGUACAGGAAUGAUGACCUUGUUAGACCUUUGGUGAUGCUUCCUCCAAAAGAAAUACCUCCAUUCUGGCAUGCUAUAUUUUUCAUCGCUGUGAAUGAUACAAUGGUCCGGCAAGCUGCUAUGGUGGUCAAGUGUGUGCUGCUCAUGUACUACAAAAACAGCAAAGGUCGUCACUAUCGUAGACAGGGCCAAAUGUUGACAGUUGUGGAAUAUUCCCUACUUCUGUACCGUGCGUUGUUGCCGGCUCCUGUGUGGUAUCGUUUUUUCCUGAACAAGGAAUAUGGAAGUCUUUUUUCAUCUUUAACAACUGGAUUGUACCUUACUUUCAAGGUGGCAUCAAUGGUGGAAAAGGUUCGAUCACUUUUGGCUUCAGUGAAUGCGCUGUCUCAUAAGGACUUGCAUUAUGGUUCACAUGCAACAACUGAGCAGGUUCUUGCCGCUGGAGAUCUGUGUGCUAUAUGCCAAGAAAAGAUGCAUACUCCCAUCCUCCUGCAGUGUAAACAUAUCUUCUGCGAAGACUGUGCCUCUGAAUGGUUGGAGCGGGAGCGGACAUGCCCGUUAUGCAGGGCGCUGGUGAAGCCAGGGGACAUUCGGUCAUUCAGUGACGGUUCAACGACCCUCUUCUUUCAGCUCUUCUAA
This 1221-nucleotide ribosomal RNA is filed under the name Triticum aestivum (bread wheat). RNAcentral describes it as "partial small subunit ribosomal RNA". The record is from RNAcentral. Lineage: Eukaryota; Viridiplantae; Streptophyta; Magnoliopsida; Poales; Poaceae.